This 69-nucleotide transfer RNA is filed under the name Camelus ferus (Wild Bactrian camel). It matches the Rfam family "tRNA". Rfam says of the family: Transfer RNA (tRNA) molecules are approximately 80 nucleotides in length. The record is from Rfam by way of RNAcentral. Lineage: Eukaryota; Metazoa; Chordata; Mammalia; Artiodactyla; Camelidae.
GGGGGUACAGAGUGGUAGGACGUGUGCUUAGCGUGCACGAGGUCCUGGGUUCAAUCCUCAGUACCUCCA